UGAAUUGUUGACUAAUUGGCAAGUCACCUAAAUUUGAGCUAGGUCAAUGUACGUUCGAAUCGUGCCAAUUCAU
This 73-nucleotide transfer RNA is filed under the name Fermentozyma sake. Its description in RNAcentral is "[Candida] sake tRNA-Gln". The record is from RNAcentral. Lineage: Eukaryota; Fungi; Ascomycota; Pichiomycetes; Serinales; Debaryomycetaceae.